Molecule: transfer RNA, 104 nt
Filed under: Dendrothele bispora CBS 962.96
Lineage: Eukaryota; Fungi; Basidiomycota; Agaricomycetes; Agaricales
Description: Dendrothele bispora (strain CBS 962.96) tRNA
Rfam family: tRNA
About the family: Transfer RNA (tRNA) molecules are approximately 80 nucleotides in length. Their secondary structure includes four short double-helical elements and three loops (D, anti-codon, and T loops).
Source: Rfam by way of RNAcentral
GGUGAGAUGGCCGAGCGGUCUAAGGCGCCAGACUAAGGAUCAGGGCACUUGGUGUCCAUGCAAUCUGGUCCGAAAGGGCGUGGGUUCGAAUCCCACUCUCAUCA